This is a long non-coding RNA of Leptidea sinapis, 579 nucleotides long. RefSeq lists it as uncharacterized. The record is from RefSeq and is a predicted model, not a curated record. NCBI's taxonomy places the organism in Eukaryota, Metazoa, Arthropoda, Insecta, Lepidoptera, Pieridae. The transcript is spliced from 3 exons.
AAAAACUUUAUCAGGUAUAUAAAAGUGAACACAAAUCUUAAUAAAAGGGUGAGAAAUAUUAAUUAUGAGUUAUGAAACAUAAUGAUUAUCCUUUUAGUGUACUAUUAAAUGUUAUUUAUUGAUAUGUGUUUUUUCGCGCUGAGCCUCUGCAAAUGUCUCUGUUGCCUCAUACCGAUUGUGGCCACUAUUUGGAUUGCUGUAUAUAUAUACAAUUGUUACCAUGGACCGAUUAAGCCUGUAACUUAAGACACUUGAAGAUAUCAUUUUAAAUCACAUGAGAUUUAUACUGUUCAGUAGACAAGACAUAAAUCUAUUUUUAUUUAAAUAAGACUCUGUCUGUUGGUCAAGAAAACAUCUACACGUGCAAGCUGCAGAAACAGAAGAUCGUUAAUCGCGCGGAACUUAUGAUAGUUGUAAACUUUCCAGUGAGACUGUACUGUAUCGUGCAUUUGGUAGAACUGCAAGUUUUAUUUUAUUGCCACUUGAGAAUUUUGUACUUCAUGAUGCUACUUAAUGUGUUGCAAGAAAAUUUCACAGAAAGUCAUUCAGAAGGUUCCUAUUUGUGAAGGAAGUUAUCAA